UACGGAGGGAGCUAGCGUUGUUCGGAAAUACUGGGCGUAAAGCGCACGUAGGCGGCGCAGCAAGUCAGGGGUGAAAUCCCGGGGCUCAACCCCGGAACUGCCCUUGAAACUGCAGUGCUAGAAUUCUGGAGAGGCGAGUGGAAUUCCGAGUGUAGAGGUGAAAUUCGUAGAUAUUCGGAAGAACACCAGUGGCGAAGGCGACUUCACUGGACGAUAUUGACGCUGAGGUGCGAAAGCGUGGGGAGCAAACAGG
RNAcentral lists this ribosomal RNA (253 nucleotides) under uncultured bacterium. RNAcentral describes it as "partial 16S ribosomal RNA". It matches the Rfam family "Bacterial small subunit ribosomal RNA", at positions 524 to 776 of the family's 1533-position model. The record is from RNAcentral.